ACGUUACCUUGCUGUGAUGUGUUUAUUGUCCGUCGACGUCCGUGUGCGGUGCAGGGGGAAGCUAGCGGCUCUUCACAGCGCAGUAUGGUGUGUUCAGGGACACUUCGGAAAAAACCCUUCGUGUCCCCUGCGCUGUGAACCAACAGCUUUUAAAACCAACGUGUUGGGAUGUUUUUGCACGAUCAUUUCCAAAUUUAUCCCACAAGAUUAUCACGAGGCUUUUGUUGUAUUUCAUACAUGGUGUGAUGAAGUAACAUAUAUUUAAAAAUCUCAUUUAGACAUAUUAUCAAAUAAAAAUCUUAAAUGGUUGGAUGGUCAGAUUUUUUUAUCAUUUAAAAUGAUCUAUGGACAAGAUUGGGGUCAAAAAUCUCAAUGUUCCCAUAAUCAAUAUUUUCAGCUGUAAAAAAUAUUCGAGUCUGACUUCUGUAAAUUAUGAUUACGGUAUUUGAAACCACUGGUGAAGGCAUCGCCCUCAGAAACAAAACAACGUCCAGUUUUCUGUAGCUGUGAUUGGGAGAGACUGUCUGACUGAGGCCAACAUUUAUGGGGCUAAAUUUUUUUGGUAAUUUAAAGAAAAUAUUUGAAACAAUAAAUGUGUUCAAAAUGUGUAGGAAAGUUUUUUGUUUUUUUUUCAAAUCAAAUAUUAUUUUUGAUACAAUUCUGGAAUUUAGAUCAAAUUUUUUUCAGUUCAGGCUUUUGACACUGAUCUGGCCUGGGGGCGUGGUGUCCACUGAGAGGGCCGUGUGGACAGCGUGACAACCAUGGAUAGAUUAUAUUAAAAUAUUUAGUUUUCGUCAUUUAGAUUGUUUACCAACCCUCACCUGGAAUAAAAGUGUAAACUUGUAAGAAAUCUCUCAUCUUCACCAAAGGUAGAGGUAAAGGUGUGGCAAAUGACUUGGCUGGACAUGCGUUUCCCAAAAAAAAAAAUCCCACAGGAGCUGUUGCCUCAUUCAGUUGAAGCAGCAGAACGUCACAGCCAACAGCUGGGAUCCUCAAUGACAACAUUUUCUACUUUUGGAGUUUACUCUACAUUACAUUUACAACUGAACAGGAAAAAACUUACAGUUGAGAAUCAGUUUGUGGAGAAAUAUUCAGACAUUUCAGACUUAUUCUCUAGAGCAGUGAAUGAUGACUUUGCUCCAUACAAAGAGGCAUUGCUUUAUCUCAUAACCAUAACCACGCGCAAUGUGUGAAAAGCCAUUUGCUCUAUUUAAAAUUACAGAAUCUUAACUAGUAACAAGACCCAUUAAUUAGUGGCAAUGGGUGUUUGGUAAACAAAAGUUUUAAUAUCAGUGAUGUCGACAACAAAGUUUUUUUUAACUUCCUUUUAUGAUGAACAUAACACCAAUAUGACAUCAUCCAGCCUUAACAUGUAAAUAAAUUCACAUCAGUAGUAGGCUAUUUGAUGAAACUCGAAAUUAAAUACAACAUGCCUGUGAGUAUAAAAGUACAAAAUGUCACUCCUCAUCAAAAAGGGAUCUCAGAACAGAAAAUGCCUCCGACAGACCAUGUACUUCAAGUAUGUUGUUAUCUGCGGUGCUCACUCUACAUUUUGCACAGUGCACAGAGGUCUCCUGCCACUGUUCCACACAUGGUUUGCAGCCAAUAAUACUUUGGCAACACUGUGUGAAGACUGGCUCCUCGAUGAACUCUGAAAAACAAAAUGGGAAAAACUAUUCAUUCUCUCAUUGUGUGUGCGUGCGUGCGUGCGUGCGUGCGUGCGUGUUAUAUGUGCGUGUUGUGUGUCCCCAACUGUCCUUAAAGUGUUUUUGAUGUAAUGGAUACAUUUUCUUUUUACCCAACUUUUAUGAUUUAAAAAAUGUCUGUUAUUCCAUCAAUACACGGGCUGUUAAACAAAGGUUUGCAGUUUGCAUCAGCACAUGCAAUUAAACUGUAAUGAAUGAGACACAACUGACCUUGGUUAGAGAAUGUAAAAAAAAAAAUGUCUGCCUCACACCAAAUAAAAUUGUUCCAAAAUGA
Long non-coding RNA from Scophthalmus maximus (turbot), 1980 nucleotides. RefSeq lists it as uncharacterized. The transcript has 2 exons. Lineage: Eukaryota; Metazoa; Chordata; Actinopteri; Pleuronectiformes; Scophthalmidae. The record is from RefSeq and is a predicted model, not a curated record.